CCUGCGGAGGGAUCAUUACAAGAAGCCGAAAGGCUACUUCAAACCAUCGCGAACUCGUCCAAGUUGCUUCGGCGGCGCGGCACCCCUUAACGGGGGCGCCGCAGCCCUGCCUCUCCGGAGGUUCGGGGCGCCCGCCGGAGGUACGAAACUCUGUAUUAUAGUGGCAUCUCUGAGUAUAAAACAAAUAAGUUAAAACUUUCAACAACGGAUCUCUUGGUUCUGGCAUCGAUGAAGAACGCAGCGAAAUGCGAUAAGUAAUGUGAAUUGCAGAAUUCAGUGAAUCAUCGAAUCUUUGAACGCACAUUGCGCCCGGUAGUACUCUACCGGGCAUGCCUGUUCGAGCGUCAUUUCAACCCUCAAGCCCUGCUUGGUGUUGGGGCCCUACGGCUGCCGUAGGCCCUGAAAGGAAGUGGCGGGCUCGCUACAACUCCGAGCGUAGUAAUUCAUUAUCUCGCUAGGGAGGUUGCGGCGUGCUCCUGCCGUUAAAGACCCAUCUUUAACCAAGGUUGACCUCGGAUCAGGUAGGAAUACCCGCUGAACUUAAGCAUAUCAA
This 553-nucleotide ribosomal RNA is filed under the name fungal sp. AB15. RNAcentral describes it as "eukaryotic LSU rRNA". The stretch from base 194 to 347 matches the Rfam family "5.8S ribosomal RNA". The record is from RNAcentral. Lineage: Eukaryota; Fungi.